This 503-nucleotide ribosomal RNA is filed under the name uncultured bacterium. RNAcentral's name for it is "bacterial SSU rRNA". It matches the Rfam family "Bacterial small subunit ribosomal RNA", at positions 30 to 522 of the family's 1533-position model. The record is from RNAcentral.
AUUGAACGCUGGCGGCAGGCCUAACACAUGCAAGUCGAGCGGUAACACAGGGAGCUUGCUCCUGGGUGACGAGCGGCGGACGGGUGAGUAAUGUCUGGGAAACUGCCCGAUGGAGGGGGAUAACUACUGGAAACGGUAGCUAAUACCGCAUAACGUCGCAAGACCAAAGAGGGGGACCUUCGGGCCUCUUGCCAUCGGAUGUGCCCAGAUGGGAUUAGCUAGUAGGUGGGGUAACGGCUCACCUAGGCGACGAUCCCUAGCUGGUCUGAGAGGAUGACCAGCCACACUGGAACUGAGACACGGUCCAGACUCCUACGGGAGGCAGCAGUGGGGAAUAUUGCACAAUGGGCGCAAGCCUGAUGCAGCCAUGCCGCGUGUAUGAAGAAGGCCUUCGGGUUGUAAAGUACUUUCAGCGGGGAGGAAGGCAGUAAACUUAAUACCUUCGCUCAUUGACGUUACCCGCAGAAGAAGCACCGGCUAACUCCGUGCCAGCAGCCGCAGUA